GUAGUCUCGCACAGAGGCAUAUCAAUAAGCGGAGGAAAAGAAACUAACAAGGAUUCCUCUAGUAACGGCGAGUGAAGCGGGAAGAGCUCAAAUUUGAAAUCUUAAAGGGUUUCCCUUUACGAAUUGUAGUUUAAAGAAGUGUUUUCUGUUGAGGUUUUGGUAAAAGUUCUUUGGAAUAGGACAUCAUAGAGGGUGAGAAUCCCGUAUUUGACCUUUACUUUCAACUUUGUGAUAUACUUUCAAAGAGUCGGAUUGUUUGGGAAUGCAGUCCAAAAUGGGUGGUAAAUUUCAUCUAAAGCUAAAUAUUGGCGAGAGACCGAUAGCGAACAAGUACCGUGAGGGAAAGAUGAAAAGAACUUUGAAAAGAGAGUUAAACAGUACGUGAAAUCGUCAAAAGGGAAGCGUUUGACACCAGUGUUGUUUUUCUGAAAAUCAAUUAAAGAACUGUUUAUGCUAAGCUGUUUAGACUUUAUCAGCUAUCUGUUUAGUUUUGAGCUUUUCUUUAAUGCACUUUUCAGUUAACAAGUCAACAUCAAUUUCUUUUGCUGUAAAAAAGCUUGAGGAAGGUGGCUUGAGAUUCGUCUUAAGUGUUUAUAGCCUCUUGCCUAUGCAGUCGGAGAGAUUGAGGUCUGCAGCGUAGAUCCUUCGGGGCUAAAUGCAUUUGUGCUAAGUUAUAGCAUUUUAUAGACAACUUGUUGACUAUGAUUUGUCUUGUAGCUUACUCGCUUAUGUUAUUUUACCUACGCUUAGGAUGUUGACGCGCGUGUGUGCGUG
This 774-nucleotide ribosomal RNA is filed under the name uncultured Neocallimastigales. RNAcentral describes it as "partial large subunit ribosomal RNA". It matches the Rfam family "Eukaryotic large subunit ribosomal RNA", at positions 24 to 639 of the family's 3401-position model. Lineage: Eukaryota; Fungi; Neocallimastigomycota; Neocallimastigomycetes; Neocallimastigales. The record is from RNAcentral.